RNAcentral lists this long non-coding RNA (627 nucleotides) under Salmo salar (Atlantic salmon). RNAcentral's name for it is "lncRNA (ENSSSAG00000117994.1)". The record is from RNAcentral. Lineage: Eukaryota; Metazoa; Chordata; Actinopteri; Salmoniformes; Salmonidae.
CGGAAGGAGACAACAGACCUGGGACAAGGCUACGGAAGGAGACAACAGACCUGGGACCAGGCUACGGAAGAAGACAACAGACAACAGACCUGGGACAAGGCUACGGAAGGAGACAACAGACCUGGGACAAGGCUACGGAAGGAGACAACAGACCUGGGACCAGGCUACAGAAGGAGACAAUAGAUCUGGAACCAGGCUACAGAAGGAGACAACAGACCUGGGACCAGGCUACAGAAAGAGACAACAGAUCUGGAACCAGGCUACAGAAGGAGACAACAGAUCUGGGACCAGGCUACAGAAGGAGACAACAGAUCUGGAACCAGGCUACAGAAGGAGACAAUAGAUCUGGAACCAGGCUACAGAAGGAGACAACAGAUCUGGGACCAGGCUACAGAAGGAGACAACAGAUCUGGAACCAGGCUACAGAAGGAGACAACAGAUCUGGAAUCAGGCUACAGAAGGAGAAAACAGAUCUGGGACCAGGCUAAUGGCAAUACAUUGUACAAGACAGUAUGCACAGCCAGUAUACUGUGAUGUCAUAAAGAGAUGUGGAAAUCCAAGGCACACUGGGACAGCAUUGAGAAAUAGCAGGAUGUGGGUUGAGCCCUCGUUAGGCAAGGUUAUGUA